RNAcentral lists this ribosomal RNA (440 nucleotides) under uncultured bacterium. RNAcentral describes it as "partial 16S ribosomal RNA". It matches the Rfam family "Bacterial small subunit ribosomal RNA", at positions 338 to 795 of the family's 1533-position model. The record is from RNAcentral.
CCUACGGGAGGCAGCAGUAGGGAAUAUUGCUCAAUGGGGGAAACCCUGAAGCAGCAACGCCGCGUGGAGGAUGAAGGUUUUCGGAUUGUAAACUCCUUUUGUUAGAGAAGAUAAUGACGGUAUCUAACGAAUAAGCACCGGCUAACUCCGUGCCAGCAGCCGCGGUAAUACGGAGGGUGCAAGCGUUACUCGGAAUCACUGGGCGUAAAGAGCGCGUAGGCGGGAUAGCAAGUCAGAUGUGAAAUCCUAUGGCUUAACCAUAGAACUGCAUUUGAAACUGUUAUUCUAGAGUAUGGGAGAGGUAGGUGGAAUUCUUGGUGUAGGGGUGAAAUGCGUAGAGAUCAGGAGGAACACUAGUGGCGAAGGCGGCCUACUGGACGGUGACUGACGCUGAGGCGCGAAAGCGUGGGGAGCAAACAGGAUUAGAUACCCGGGUAGUC